Long non-coding RNA from Solanum dulcamara, 2245 nucleotides. RefSeq lists it as uncharacterized. NCBI's taxonomy places the organism in Eukaryota, Viridiplantae, Streptophyta, Magnoliopsida, Solanales, Solanaceae. The transcript is spliced from 4 exons. The record is from RefSeq and is a predicted model, not a curated record.
UCAAAAUCAAUUUGGAAACUAGAGUUGGCUAAUAUCAUUCAUGUUAUAUAUUGAGUUUGAAUUCUUCCUUUUAUUCUUAUUGACCAUUUUAAAACAUAUUGUUCUUCCUCCUUCGAUAUGCAUGCCAAGUGUUGGAUAGAUGUGUGUGAUUUUUGCUGCUUCAUUGUAGUAAAUAUGUUAUUUCUUUUACCUGGAAUCUGGAUAAAUGUUGUUAAUGUUUCCUCCUGUUUCGGGUGUCUCUUUUUCUUUAGGAUUUAUAUUUUUCCCGUUUGGUUACUCAGUUUGGCACAUGAAUAUUCUAAUUUAGCUGUUUUGCGUGGAUUUUGAAAUUACUGAGAUAUGUAAAUUAAAAAAUUUGUGGGUCGGCGUUGUCCUGUGCUUGGAUCAUUUUUUUGUUCUUCGAUUUCCUCUAGACAUGUACGAGGAAAUUCCGAAUCAUAGAAAAACAUGUUAGCCAUUAACAGAUAUGGGCUUAAAGAGACAACAAACAAUCUGUUUUGAAAAUAUCAUUGUAUUGCUCUAAGACCAUCCAUGAUGAUAGGAUCCACAUUGGCAUACUUCCACUAAAAUAGAUGGACUUCAAUGGAAAAUCAAGAAUAUGUUUAUGACGAAUGAAGUGUCCAAAUUCAAGCCCAAAAGGAAGAAGAUUGGGCCACAUGAAGCCCCAAAGUGAGCUCAAAAAAGUGGACAUUCAAAGUCAAAGUUUCCUAGUUUAAAAUUUCCUUAUUUGAAAGUUUCCUAGUUUAAAGUUUCCUACUUUAAAAGUUUUUUAGUUUAAACUUUCCUAGUUUAAAAGUUUCCUAGUUUAAAGUUUCCUAGUUAUUAUUUUCAUAAAAGUAGGAAUUGAAUCUCAUUCUAUUUGGAAUAGGGUUUCCCUAUAUAUAGGGGUAGGUUUUAUUAUUCUAAAAGGACAACAUGAUGAUUAAUAUUAUUUGAGAGGUUUCUCUUCUUUACAUCUUUGUGUGUGGUGACUAUAGAUUUAUCUUACAACCUUAUAAGAAUGAUUCUUUAAGAGGUAUCUGAUAUGGAUGUGGAUCUAGAAAACUUACAAGGUAUUAUGUGGAAAAUAUAUUGAUCAAGAGGAUACUAGAAGGUGAUAUAAGGAAAAUGAUUUGACAGAGAUAUUUCUAUAUACAAAUACAAGGGCUAUUCACGUGACAUAUGCAUAAAUUGUCAUUGUCGUCAAUGGAUCUCUCACGAAGAGUUGAGCACAUGUAAGUACAAUCCAUAGCCCUCUCAAGUAAUGUAUGAGGGCUUGGUACUCAGCGAGAUUAUUGAAGCAAGGUUUCGACAAGGAGGAGUGCUGCCGAUUUGGAAAACAAUGGUCUUCAAACACUCCUUUAUGUGAGCAGGUAUAUGAUAUUUUGUAAUGGGGCUAGAGCUUUAUGAUAUGUCAAAGUGACUAGAGAAAGGAAUUGUGCAUGGCAGAAGUGAGACUUUAUUUCCAGCAGUUUCGUCAGAGAAUUUGAAAGGAAGUUUACCUACUUGGUUGAACUUGAUCUUAGAAUCAUGUAUCAUGAUGCUUCUGAGUUAAAAAAAAAAAAUAGUGAGGGAUUUAAGUUUUACUAUAUUAGUCCUUAUCCAUUCACACAGAUUUUCAUGAGCUAUGCAGUGAUAUGUUUGCACGAUUUAAAGACGGGAGAGAACACCAUUUCACUCAAAAAAGGAAACACUUUGUGGAUCAAAGGUUAGGCAAUAUAUAGUUUCUUUAUAGAGAGAAGCAACAUCAUAGUAGUACUGUUGCACCAAGCUUAAUGAUCAAUUGACAAACUUCAUGUUAGUUUUACUAUAUAUUGACUUAAUUGUGGCCAAUAUGACUGACUUAAUGAUCAGCUGAUCUCAGCUAGUGACUCUUAUUAACAUUGCAGUAUUACACUAUGAAUUCAAAUCUUGGAACAAAUUCAGAGAAGAGGUCAUCAAAAGCUAAACUAGAAUUUGAUGCACGACCUUCUGAACAAUCUGUGUGCAAAUGAUGUUCCUUAUGACAAUGGACUCGGAUCAAAUGGACUUGUCCAACGUUUUGAACAACUUAUUUCAGCUGUGUUUGUACCGUAUUAUCACCCUCACCCUAUGUUGAAUGGUUGUUUUAUGCAGUUCUUUUUUAAAGUAGUUCAGCUCUCUUACCUGAGUUUAAGAUCUGAGGAUUAGAUGAGCCUUUUAUUUAGGCAUUGAUGGUGUGACUUUGUUUUAGCUAAUGUAAAAAUGUUUAUAUUACCUAUGAAGGCAUUCUCUUGUGUAAACUUAA